RNAcentral lists this ribosomal RNA (393 nucleotides) under uncultured bacterium. RNAcentral describes it as "partial 16S ribosomal RNA". It matches the Rfam family "Bacterial small subunit ribosomal RNA", at positions 523 to 917 of the family's 1533-position model. The record is from RNAcentral.
AUACGUAGGGAGCGAGCGUUGUCCGGAAUUACUGGGCGUAAAGGGCGCGUAGGCGGCGCUUCAAGUCGUCUGUCAAAUGGGAGGGCUUAACCCUUUUUCGCAGACGAAACUGGAGAGCUUGAGAAGCAGAGAGGCAAACAGAAUUCCUGGUGUAGCGGUGAAAUGCGUAGAUAUCAGGAAGAAUACCAGUGGCGAAGGCGGUUUGCUGGCUGCAUACUGACGCUGAAGCGCGAAAGCCAGGGGAGCAAACGGGAUUAGAUACCCCGGUAGUCCUGGCAGUAAACGAUGUAUGCUGGGUGUGAGACUAGCGAUAGUUUCGUGCCGAAGUUAACGCGAUAAGCAUACCGCCUGGGGAGUACGGUCGCAAGAUUGAAACUCAAAUGAAUUGACGGG